UUUGCUUCUCAGCCUCUUGGCUAAGAUCAAGCAUAGGUAUCUGUUCUUAUCAAUUUAACAUCUGAUACAUUCUCUGAGGACAACAUAUUAAAUGAUUUUUGGAGCAGGGAAAUGGAAUAGGAGUUGCUCGGUCUACACCAUACGUUGACCCAGCAUUACAGUACCCCCGGGAAUGGUGCACCCUCU
Pteronotus mesoamericanus is the source of this 186-nucleotide small nuclear RNA. RefSeq annotates it as U2 spliceosomal RNA. The record is from RefSeq and is a predicted model, not a curated record. The transcript has a single exon. Lineage: Eukaryota; Metazoa; Chordata; Mammalia; Chiroptera; Mormoopidae.